GAUGAACGCUGGCGGCGUGCCUAAUACAUGCAAGUCGAGCGAACGGACGAGAAGCUUGCUUCUCUGAUGUUAGCGGCGGACGGGUGAGUAACACGUGGAUAACCUACCUAUAAGACUGGGAUAACUUCGGGAAACCGGAGCUAAUACCGGAUAAUAUUUUGAACCGCAUGGUUCAAAAGUGAAAGACGGUCUUGCUGUCACUUAUAGAUGGAUCCGCGCUGCAUUAGCUAGUUGGUAAGGUAACGGCUUACCAAGGCAACGAUGCAUAGCCAACCUGAGAGGGUGAUCAGCCACACUGGAACUGAGACACGGUCCAGACUCCUACGGGAGGCAGCAGUAGGGAAUCUUCCGCAAUGGGCGAAAGCCUGACGGAGCAACGCCGCGUGAGUGAUGAAGGUCUUCGGAUCGUAAAACUCUGUUAUUAGGGAAGAACAUAUGUGUAAGUAACUGUGCACAUCUUGACGGUACCUAAUCAGAAAGCCACGGCUAACUACGUG
This 497-nucleotide ribosomal RNA is filed under the name uncultured bacterium. RNAcentral describes it as "partial 16S ribosomal RNA". It matches the Rfam family "Bacterial small subunit ribosomal RNA", at positions 28 to 507 of the family's 1533-position model. The record is from RNAcentral.